Molecule: ribosomal RNA, 254 nt
Filed under: uncultured bacterium
Lineage: Bacteria
Description: partial 16S ribosomal RNA
Rfam family: Bacterial small subunit ribosomal RNA
Source: RNAcentral
CACGUAGGGGGCAAGCGUUGUCCGGAUUUAUUGGGCGUAAAGAGCUCGUAGGUGGUUCGGUAAGUCGGGUGUUAAACCCCCAGGCUCAACCUGGGGACGCCACUCGAUACUGCUGUGACUAGAGUCCGGUAGGGGAGCGUGGAAUUCCUGGUGUAGCGGUGAAAUGCGCAGAUAUCGGGAGGAACACCUGUGGCGAAAGCGGCUCACUGGACCAUUACUGACGCUGAUGCUCGAAAGCUAGGGGAGCAAACAGG